Molecule: ribosomal RNA, 485 nt
Filed under: uncultured bacterium
Lineage: Bacteria
Description: bacterial SSU rRNA
Rfam family: Bacterial small subunit ribosomal RNA
Source: RNAcentral
AACGAACGCUGGCGGCGGGCCUCAUACAUGCAAGUCGAGCGCGAAAGUCCGCAAGGAUGAGUAAAGCGGCGCACGGGUGAGUAACACGUGGAUAAUCUACCCUCUGGAUUGGAAUAACCUGUCGAAAGACGGGCCAAUGCCAAGUAAGCUCUCGGGAACGUGAUGUUCCUGCGAGGAAAGAUGGCGCAAGCUAUCGCCGAAGGAUGAGUCUGCGUCCCAUUAGCUAGUUGGUGGGGUAAAAGCUUACCAAGGCAAUGAUGGGUACCUGGUCUGAGAGGAUGACCAGGCACACUGGAACUGAAACACGGUCCAGACUCCUACGGGAGGCAGCAGUAGGGAAUAUUGCGCAAUGGACGAAAGUCUGACGCAGCCACGCCGCGUGAGUGAAGAAGGCCUUAGGGUUGUAAAGUUCUUUCGCCGAUGAAGAUAAUGACGGUAGUCGGAGAAGAAGCCCCGGCUAACUUCGUGCCAGCAGCCGCGGUAAU